This 1279-nucleotide long non-coding RNA is filed under the name Polistes fuscatus (common paper wasp). RNAcentral describes it as "uncharacterized LOC122524448, transcript variant X2". The record is from RNAcentral. Lineage: Eukaryota; Metazoa; Arthropoda; Insecta; Hymenoptera; Vespidae.
ACGUGAGAAAAAGAAGGAGAGAGGGAGAAAGAAAAAUAGAAAGAAAAGGAGAAAGAGAAAAAGAAGAAGAGGAGGAAUUCGAACGUCGUGCCAAAGGGAACACGCAAAGGCGCGCGUUGUUCCCUCUCUCUCUCUCUCCCUUCCUCAACAGGCCACCCCCUUUCUUUCGCGUACGUGUCGCGUGCUCUCGCGCAUGUCUUCUUCAUCCUCCUCCUUUUCCUCCUCCUUUUCCUCCUCCUCAUCCUCCACCUCCACAUCCUCCUCCUUCACCUCCUCCUCUUCCUCCUGCUCCUUCUCUUCUUCGUCAUCAUCCCAUCGAGAACUUUUGUUUUGAUCUUGAAGUUGCCAUCGGCGGAUGCAGAAAUCCAUCCGGCUCGCGUUAGAUCGAAACGUUAGCGAGAUUUAAACGUGAGAAGAAAAGAGAGAGUGAGGGACUGAGAGAAGUGUACAUGUAUAACACACCUAGUGGGGAGAGAGAGAUAUCGAUCGUGGGACCAUUGACGUCCGUUUCUGGAGAACGCGGCACACGAAGAGACGUUAAGGGUGCUUUCGCGAACCAACCCCCUUUUACCACCACCACCACCACCACCACUACUACCUUUACCACUACUACCAGUACUACUAUUACUAUUCUACCUCGUUCCUCUUUUUUAUCUAUAUCUUCUUUCUCUCUUUGACUUACUUCGCUGUGAAUUUUACGCGCGAACCUUGUUCAACAAGAGGAACCUUAGUGAGUGAGAUAGAUUCUAGGAUAAAGAAGGACUCCUUGGGAGGAUGCAACCCGGCUUACGUGUUUUAGUAUUUUCACGUGAUUUUCAACAACAUCUUCGGCAUCGUAAUCGUCUCACUUCUGACAAUACUAUUUCUACUACUACUACUGCUGCUAUUGAUAUUGAUACUACUAUUUUUAUUAUCGCUGCUGCUGCUGCUGUUAUUAUUAUUAUUAUUAUUAUCAUUGUUGUUAUCGUUGUUGUUGCACGACAAAACAGUGCACAUUUUCGCGCUAUUAGUUUAUCUUACGAACGAGCUAAAAGUGUUGCGUGUUACCAUUCGAGUUUUUUUUCCUACGCUAAGGGGAUGAUCGUUACGUGAUCAACGAGACACAACAAUUAAGCGUUUUUAAUAUUCCAUCUAGUGGUUCUGAGAAACUCUUUCUUCUCGACGACAUCGUGCAACAAUGGGUCGGAAGAAGAUUCAGAUCUCGCGCAUCACGGACGAACGAAACCGUCAGGUGACCUUUAACAAGAGGAAAUUCGGGGUAAUGAAGAAGGCGUACGAA